This is a long non-coding RNA of Colossoma macropomum (tambaqui), 586 nucleotides long. RefSeq lists it as uncharacterized. The record is from RefSeq and is a predicted model, not a curated record. NCBI's taxonomy places the organism in Eukaryota, Metazoa, Chordata, Actinopteri, Characiformes, Serrasalmidae. The transcript is spliced from 3 exons.
AUAAUAUUAAACACGGCUGCUUUUGUCGCAGCGUCGCGACGAGAAAAAGACUGACCUAAGACGGCCGUCCUGACCACCUCACACUAACCGAUCGAGGUGGAGCGAGCGCGACUCAACUCCAGCAAGACUCUCAUGAUUUUAUUAAAAUACAGCCGUUAUAAUAUUUACAGCUGCAGACUUACCAGACCAAAUGAGAACUCCAAAAUGGACAAUGCAGAUAAGGAGAAGACCAGCCACAACAACAAUGAUGACCAGGACUAACACACCAUCUGAAACACCACAGUGUUACGUCAAGGGCUUGAAUAGACACCUGCAGCACCAUCUCCUUCUCCAGGCUGCUGUGCUGAAUGAUGCAGGUGUAGUCGUGUUUGUUCAGCUCCUCAGGUGAGACAGUCAGAACGCUCCUCUUCUGGAAGGUUCCGUCCUGGUUGGGUAGCGUCUCUCUGAGCUCCACGUCCUCAUGCAGAUCCUCUCCAUUCUUCUGCCAGGAGAUCAUCACUGCUUUGGGGAAGAAACCUGUAGCAUGACACACCACUGGAGAAGAAGAGUCCUUCUGGAACAGAGACGCCUCAGGAGAGACUGGAGA